This 253-nucleotide ribosomal RNA is filed under the name uncultured bacterium. Its description in RNAcentral is "partial 16S ribosomal RNA". It matches the Rfam family "Bacterial small subunit ribosomal RNA", at positions 524 to 776 of the family's 1533-position model. The record is from RNAcentral.
UACGAAGGGGGCUAGCGUUGUUCGGAAUUACUGGGCGUAAAGCGCGCGCAGGCGGUCUUCCAAGUCAGUGGUGAAAGCCCGGAGCUCAACUCCGGAAAUGCCAUUGAAACUGUGAGACUGGAGUACGAGAGAGGUGAGUGGAAUUCCCAGUGUAGAGGUGAAAUUCGUAGAUAUUGGGAAGAACACCGGUGGCGAAGGCGGCUCACUGGCUCGUAACUGACGCUCAGGCGCGACAGCGUGGGGAUCAAACAGG